Molecule: long non-coding RNA, 1532 nt
Organism: Chinchilla lanigera (long-tailed chinchilla)
Lineage: Eukaryota; Metazoa; Chordata; Mammalia; Rodentia; Chinchillidae
Exons: 3
Source: RefSeq, a predicted model, not a curated record
GCCUGCUGCAGUGAGCCUGCUGGGAGGCUGGGUACAUCUGCAAACCUUGAAGAGGAAACUCUGUCAUAUAGUGGUGUGAAGUGUGCCCAUGUCACGAGGGAGAAAGUCCAGGAUCAGAAAUUGCUGAGUUUGUGAAAACUACGGAAGAGGAAGUGUCAAAGUUCUGCCCUGUGAUGGCUCUCUUGUGAUCCUGAAUAUAAGUACAAGCCAAAAACUGCUUAUGCACAAGCCAUGAAUAAUGAUGUCCUAGAGAGCCUGGUCAGGAGCAGCCUGAAGUUCUGCCUCUGCAUGAUUUGGCAGAAGUAACCCUGGAUUCUGUAGGAAUCUCACCAUGGCAACAUGAAGAGCAGCAGAAGCCCAAGGUCACUGUGAUGAGUUGAGGAAGAAGGAGAUUCGACUGCAUUUUGGAAGUCACAGAACACUUUUUGAGCUGCAGCAAGUUUCACUGACAGAAAGCUGAAGAUAGGAUCUCACUCAGGCUUGUGUUUCAAUCAGCAAGGAGUAGGAGGGGCACCAGGUGGGUAGGGUUAGUGCAUGUGGCAGGACAGUGUCACUGUGUCAGCAGGAGCAUGCUGUGCCAGUCCCGCCUGACUUCUGGAGGAAGUGAUACAGAAUCUCAGGCAGCCUCUAGCUCCCACUGACUGCCAGCCUUGGCCUCUUCCUGCAGCCCCAACAAGCUCAGGCUGCCACAGCCCUGCAUCUUAAUCAUCCGUCGCAUUUUGCAGCAGCGACCAUAUUCAGUGACACUUGGAACAGCUGGGCUUUUGGAUCUCCACCCAAUCAGCAAGGCCUGUGGUUGAUUCACUGUCUCCCAUCCAAUUCCUUUUGUCCCAGACCCUGCUUGGGCAGAUACUCUCUGUGCCCUUCCUUAGGACAAUUUUACAGCUGGGCUUUGGGAGCUGAGAGAUUCCCGGCUCAGAGUUGUGCUAUAAGCUCACUGUUAACAGGACAGCACUGUGCUUCUUCCUAAUUGAGGCUGCUGUCCACCGUGGUUAGGAUGUAGAUCCCCGCUUACUCUGCCACUACUGCAUCAUUUCACUGAAACCCUGACAAUGAUGAUGGUCAUGAUAACAGGAAAACUGUUGAUGAGUGAAGAAGGAUCCCAGGAGUAAUUCUGUGUGUUUAACAAGGGCUGUUUUGAAAAUUUCCAUAUAUGCAAUGAUCCAGAAAAAGAGGCAGACAGGGAGAAAGCGCCAAACUGAGAAAGCGCCAAGAAGCGGCUGAAAAUCCAGGGAAACACCAGCAAUGAGAUACCACUGGACAUUAAUUCAACAAAAUCAGCUUUCAGACUCAUAGAUACAAGGGCUGAUGUGGAGCAACUGACACUCCCAUGUAUGGCUGGUGGGGAAGCAAAAUGAUGGAGUCAUUUUGGAAGGCAGGUAUCUUUUUGAGGGAUAAACAUACAGUUGACACAUGACUGAGCAAUUCCAUUGUCAGGUCUUCUUGACCCCAUGGAAGUGAGGGCAUGCACCUCAUCUGAAAGUGUUCAGAGCAGCUUUAUUAAAAACAGCCAAACACGGAAGUCACUCAGA